RNAcentral lists this small RNA (83 nucleotides) under Marmota monax (woodchuck). The record is from RNAcentral. Lineage: Eukaryota; Metazoa; Chordata; Mammalia; Rodentia; Sciuridae.
GCCGGGCAUGAUGGCGCCUGCCUGUAAUCCCAGCUGCUCAGGAGGCUGAGGUAGGAGGAUCUCGAGUUCAAAGCCAGCCUCAG